RNAcentral lists this ribosomal RNA (421 nucleotides) under Escherichia coli. RNAcentral's name for it is "bacterial SSU rRNA". It matches the Rfam family "Bacterial small subunit ribosomal RNA", at positions 32 to 449 of the family's 1533-position model. Lineage: Bacteria; Pseudomonadati; Pseudomonadota; Gammaproteobacteria; Enterobacterales; Enterobacteriaceae. The record is from RNAcentral.
AACGCUGGCGGCAGGCCUAACACAUGCAAGUCGAACGGUAACAGGAAGAAGCUUGCUUCUUUGCUGACGAGUGGCGGACGGGUGAGUAAUGUCUGGGAAACUGCCUGAUGGAGGGGGAUAACUACUGGAAACGGUAGCUAAUACCGCAUAACGUCGCAAGACCAAAGAGGGGGACCUUCGGGCCUCUUGCCAUCGGAUGUGCCCAGAUGGGAUUAGCUAGUAGGUGGGGUAACGGCUCACCUAGGCGACGAUCCCUAGCUGGUCUGAGAGGAUGACCAGCCACACUGGAACUGAGACACGGUCCAGACUCCUACGGGAGGCAGCAGUGGGGAAUAUUGCACAAUGGGCGCAAGCCUGAUGCAGCCAUGCCGCGUGUAUGAAGAAGGCCUUCGGGUUGUAAAGUACUUUCAGCGGGGAGGAA